Molecule: ribosomal RNA, 468 nt
Filed under: uncultured bacterium
Lineage: Bacteria
Description: partial 16S ribosomal RNA
Rfam family: Bacterial small subunit ribosomal RNA
Source: RNAcentral
GACGAACGCUGGCGGCGUGCUUAACACAUGCAUGUCGAACGGAAAGGCCCUGCUUUUGUGGGUUUCUCGAGUGCCGAACGGGUGUGUAACACGUGUGUAACCUGCCCUUGACUUUGUGAUAACUUCAGGAAACUGGGGCUCUUACCGGAUAUGAUCUCCUGCUGCAUGGUGGGCGUUGGAAAGUUUCGGCGGUUGGGGAUGGACUCGCUGCUUAUCAGCUUGUUGGUGGGGUAGUUGCUUACCAAGGCUUUGACGGGUAGCCGGCCUGAGAGGUGGACCGGGGACAUUGGGACUGAGAGACGGCCCAGACGCCUACGGGAGGCAGCAGUGGGGAAUAUUGCACAAUGGGCGGAAGCCUGAUGCAGAAACGCUGCGUGCGGGAUGACGGGCUUCGGGUUGUAAACAGAUGUCGACUGUGACGAAGCGUGAGUGACGGUAAUGGGUAAAGAAGCACCGGCUAACUACGUG